GAUGAACGCUGGCGGCGUGCCUAAUACAUGCAAGUAGAACGCUGAAGGAGGAGCUUGCUCUUCUGGAUGAGUUGCGAACGGGUGAGUAACGCGUAGGUAACCUGCCUGGUAGCGGGGGAUAACUAUUGGAAACGAUAGCUAAUACCGCAUGACAACAGUUAUUGCAUGAUAACUGUUUAAAAGGGGCAACUGCUCCACUACCAGAUGGACCUGCGUUGUAUUAGCUAGUUGGUGAGGUAACGGCUCACCAAGGCGACGAUACAUAGCCGACCUAGAGGGUGAUCGGCCACACUGGGACUGAGACACGGCCCAGACUCCUACGGGAGGCAGCAGUAGGGAAUCUUCGGCAAUGGACGGAAGUCUGACCGAGCAACGCCGCGUGAGUGAAGAAGGUUGUCGGAUCGUAAAGCUCUGUUGUAAGAGAAGAACGAGUGUGAGAGUGGAAAGUUCACACUGUGACGGUAUCUUACCAGAAAGGGACGGCUAACUACGUG
RNAcentral lists this ribosomal RNA (494 nucleotides) under uncultured bacterium. RNAcentral describes it as "partial 16S ribosomal RNA". It matches the Rfam family "Bacterial small subunit ribosomal RNA", at positions 28 to 507 of the family's 1533-position model. The record is from RNAcentral.